UCCUCGGUAAAACCGAGGCUGUCCCCCGUGAGAAUAUAACACAGGGUAGGGGUUGCGCUCGUUUGCCGACUGAACGGAACACCUCACGGCACGAGCUGACGACGACCGUGCAUCACCUGUCAUUGGGCUCCCGAAGGCACCCCCGCAUUUCUGCAGGGUUCCCAAGAUGUCAAGACCUGGUAAGGUUCCUCGCUUAUCGUCGAAUUAAACCACAUGCUCCACCACUUGUGCGAGCCCCCGUCAAUUCCUUUGAGUUUUAGCCUUGCGGCCGUACUUCCCAGGCGGUUCACUUACCGCGUUAGCUGCGCUACAGAAAGGGUCGAUACUCCCCAUAGCUAGUGAACAUCGUUUACAGCGUGGACUAC
RNAcentral lists this unclassified non-coding RNA (365 nucleotides) under uncultured bacterium. RNAcentral describes it as "contains 16S-23S intergenic spacer region". The record is from RNAcentral.